RNAcentral lists this ribosomal RNA (450 nucleotides) under uncultured bacterium. Its description in RNAcentral is "bacterial SSU rRNA". It matches the Rfam family "Bacterial small subunit ribosomal RNA", at positions 354 to 796 of the family's 1533-position model. The record is from RNAcentral.
GUGGGGAAUAUUGGACAAUGGGCGAAAGCCUGAUCCAGCCAUGCCGCGUGUGUGAAGAAGGUCUUCGGAUUGUAAAGCACUUUAAGUUGGGAGGAAGGGCAGUAAGUUAAUACCUUGCUGUUUUGACGUUACCGACAGAAUAAGCACCGGCUAACUUCGUGCCAGCAGCCGCGGUAAUACGAAGGGUGCAAGCGUUAAUCGGAAUUACUUGGCGUAAAGCGCGCGUAGGUGGUUUUGUAAGUUGGAGGUGAAAUCCCCGGGCUAAACCUGGGAACUGCCUCCAAAACUGCAUGACUAGAGUACGGUAGAGGGUAGUGGAAUUUCCUGUGUAGCGGUGAAAUGCGUAGAUAUAGGAAGGAACACCAGUGGCGAAGGCGACUACCUGGACUGAUACUGACACUGAGGUGCGAAAGCGUGGGGAGCAAACAGGAUUAGAAACCCCGGUAGUCC